RNAcentral lists this ribosomal RNA (249 nucleotides) under Vibrio parahaemolyticus. RNAcentral describes it as "partial 23S ribosomal RNA". It matches the Rfam family "Bacterial large subunit ribosomal RNA", at positions 1341 to 1589 of the family's 2925-position model. The record is from RNAcentral. Lineage: Bacteria; Pseudomonadati; Pseudomonadota; Gammaproteobacteria; Vibrionales; Vibrionaceae.
GAAGACCAAGGGUUCCUGUCCAACGUUAAUCGGGGCAGGGUAAGUCGACCCCUAAGGCGAGGCCGAAAGGCGUAGUCGAUGGGAAACGGGUUAAUAUUCCCGUACUUCUUACAAUUGCGAUGGGGGGGACGGAGAAGGCUAGGUGGGCCUGGCGACGGUUGUCCAGGUUCAAGUGCGUAGGCUUAAGAGUUAGGUAAAUCCGGCUCUUUCUAAGGCUGAGACACGACGUCGAGCACCUACGGGUGUGAA